UUCCGGUUGAUCCUGCCGGAGGCCAUUGCUAUCGGGGUCCGAUUUAGCCAUGCUAGUCGCGCGGGUUUAGACCCGCGGCAAAUAGCUCCGUAACACGUGGCCAAACUACCCUACGGAGGAGAAUAACCUCGGGAAACUGAGGCUAACACUCCAUACGGCUCCGACGCUGGAACGCCCGGAGUCAGAAGCGCGUUAGCGCCGUAGGAUGUGGCUGCGGCCGAUUAGGUAGACGGUGGGGUAACGGCCCACCGUGCCGAUAAUCGGUACGGGUUGUGAGAGCAAGAGCCCGGAGACGGAAUCUGAGACAAGAUUCCGGGCCCUACGGGGCGCAGCAGGCGCGAAACCUUUACACUGCACGACAGUGCGAUAAGGGGACCCCGAGUGCGAGGGCAUACAGUCCUCGCUUUUCUGGACGGUAAGGACGUCCAGGAACAAGUGCUGGGCAAGACCGGUGCCAGCCGCCGCGGU
RNAcentral lists this ribosomal RNA (468 nucleotides) under uncultured archaeon. RNAcentral's name for it is "bacterial SSU rRNA". It matches the Rfam family "Archaeal small subunit ribosomal RNA", at positions 1 to 471 of the family's 1478-position model. The record is from RNAcentral.